This 714-nucleotide unclassified non-coding RNA is filed under the name uncultured cyanobacterium. RNAcentral describes it as "partial contains 16S ribosomal RNA, 16S-23S ribosomal RNA intergenic spacer, and 23S ribosomal RNA". The stretch from base 1 to 112 matches the Rfam family "Bacterial small subunit ribosomal RNA", at positions 1423 to 1533 of the family's 1533-position model. Lineage: Bacteria; Bacillati; Cyanobacteriota. The record is from RNAcentral.
GAAGUCGUUACUCCAACCCUUGUGGAGGAGGACGUCGAAGGUGGGGCUGAUGACUGGGGUGAAGUCGUAACAAGGUAGCCGUACCGGAAGGUGCGGCUGGAUCACCUCCUAACAGGGAGACAACAAAAUGUAAAUGUUAAUUUUGUCACCUUAGGUCGAUCGGUAUCUCAGAUUCUUAUUAUUUAAGAAUUUCAGUUUCUAAGUUUUUUCUAGGUCACACCCAUCACUUUUUCCUGGGCCAUUAGCUCAGGUGGUUAGAGCGCACCCCUGAUAAGGGUGAGGUCCCUGGUUCAAGUCCAGGAUGGCCCAUAUCUCUAUGUUGGGGGUAUAGCUCAGUUGGUAGAGCGCCUGCUUUGCAAGCAGGAUGUCAGCGGUUCGAGUCCGCUUACCUCCGCUGAAUACCACCUCUUACAUAUAGUUGAAGUGGGAAAUUGUUCUGAGUCGUGUCCUAAUUUGCUCUGAGCGAAUCUAGCUUCCUAUUUUAUCCAAGAAAUAAGAUGCUGGACUCAUCGAAUUUUUUUCAUUGUUUUCAGAGAACCUUGACAACUGCAUAGAUUAUUUUUGAAGACAAUAAGCAUCUUUAAUGAUGCAGAUUUAUUAUUUGUGCGAAUGCAUUAAAUAACAAUUCUAUUAAGCUGAUGCUUCAAUUAUUGAAGUUAUUGGUCAAGCUACAAAGGGCUCACGGAGGAUACCUAGGCACACAGAGGCGAUGAA